Molecule: ribosomal RNA, 484 nt
Filed under: uncultured bacterium
Lineage: Bacteria
Description: partial 16S ribosomal RNA
Rfam family: Bacterial small subunit ribosomal RNA
Source: RNAcentral
AUUGAACGCUGGCGGCAGGCCUAACACAUGCAAGUCGAGCGGAUGAAGGGAGCUUGCUCCUGGAUUCAGCGGCGGACGGGUGAGUAAUGCCUAGGAAUCUGCCUGGUAGCGGGGGAUAACGUCCGGAAACGGGCGCUAAUACCGCAUACGUCCUGAGGGAGAAAGUGGGGGAUCUUCGGACCUCACGCUAUCAGAUGAGCCUAGGUCGGAUUAGCUAGUUGGUGGGGUAAAGGCCUACCAAGGCGACGAUCCGUCACUGGUCUGAGAGGAUGAUCAGUCACACUGGAACUGAGACACGGUCCAGACUCCUACGGGAGGCAGCAGUGGGGAAUAUUGGACAAUGGGCGAAAGCCUGAUCCAGCCAUGCCGCGUGUGUGAAGAAGGUCUUCGGAUUGUAAAGCACUUUAAGUUGGGAGGAAGGGCAGUAAGUUAAUACCUUGCUGUUUUGACGUUACCAACAGAAUAAGCACCGGCUAACUUCGUG